GUGUUACAUAACAGGAAACGUUGUUGCAGGCAAGUUAAUUUAUAGGGAAAAAAAGUAAUGAUUGGAAGAGUUGAUCUUUAAAUGUGGUUCUUUUUCACCUUUAUAGUUUAACAGCUAAUUAUUUGCGGGCAGUUGGUGGAGCAAGUGUAGAGGACCUGACGAGAAGGAUUCUAGCCUACAUUUUCACGAACGAUUAAGCAAAUUUAACUUGAUCCCAAAAACUGAGGAUGAAUGGAAAACUGUAGCACACCAAUUUGAGACCAAGUGGAACUUCAAUAACGCUGUUGGAGCAAUGGACGAAAAACACAUAACAUCAAUUUGAGACCAAGUGGAACUUCAAUAACGCUGUUGGAGCAAUGGUCGGAAAACACAUAGCUAUACAAAAACCAACAGGAAGCGGAUCGCUGUACUUAAAUUAUAAAAAAAAUUUUAAGCAUAGUGUUAUUUGCUAUCGUUGAUGCAAACUAUCAGUUUAUGUACGUACAUGUAGGGGCCAAUGGGAGUGUUUGUGAUUCUACAGUUCUCUAAAACUCAAGUUUUUACCAGAGACUUAUAAAUGAUGAAUUGAGAUUACCAGCGCCAACAGCUUUACCAGGCACGAAUAAGUGCUUCCCAUAUGCUUUCCUUGGAUACAGUGGGUUUAGUCUUAGCCCUUACAUAAUGAAGCCUUACCCGUCAAAAAUAUAACUCAUGUGCAAAGAAUUUUCAACUACAGACUACCACGAGCAAGAAGGGCCAUGUAAAUCAAUGUGGAAAAUGUUGAAUGUUCUUGCAUGUUACGUCUUGCACAAUUGCUUGUCUCAGAGAAAUGCAAUUUAUAUAACACCUACAUCUGUUGACACUGAAGAUGUUAAUACAAUGCAGUUACGACCUGGGGAUUGGCGUGAGGUGCGGUCCUUAGCACAUAUGCAGCAAUCGAGUGUAAGAAUUGUUUCUAAUCAAGGGAAGAGUAUUCGAAAAUGUUUUCUUGACUACUACAACGACAAAGGAGCCCUUACGUUUCAAGAGGAUAUGUUAAGAGCACAAUAACGUUAUUUUGCUAAUUGUUUUUCUGUACCACAACAUCCAUUAGUGAUUCGUCUUUUUCCAGAGGAUCAUAUCCUUCUCUGAUCAUCUCCUUCUCACCUGCGGCUUUUACCUGCAAUGAAUGUUUUAUUUAAAUUAUUUUGUUAUUAUU
Macrosteles quadrilineatus (aster leafhopper) is the source of this 1177-nucleotide long non-coding RNA. RefSeq lists it as uncharacterized. The transcript is spliced from 3 exons. NCBI's taxonomy places the organism in Eukaryota, Metazoa, Arthropoda, Insecta, Hemiptera, Cicadellidae. The record is from RefSeq and is a predicted model, not a curated record.